AUGGGGUUGUGGUCAUUUCUUGAGGGUGUCCUGCUUAUAGCUAAUGCUUUGGCAAUAUUGAAUGAAGACCGUUUUCUUAAUCCCAGAGGAUGGAGCUUCGCUGACGCUAGAGGCAUGCAUGGAGCAAACACCUUCAAAGGACAGAUGAUUGGCCUCAUAUACGCUGCUCAAUACAUGAGAUUUCCAUUGAUCCUUCUUAAUGGAAUCACUAUACUUGUGAAGUUUGUUACAUUCUGA
Molecule: ribosomal RNA, 237 nt
Filed under: Triticum aestivum (bread wheat)
Lineage: Eukaryota; Viridiplantae; Streptophyta; Magnoliopsida; Poales; Poaceae
Description: partial small subunit ribosomal RNA
Source: RNAcentral